This 334-nucleotide ribosomal RNA is filed under the name uncultured Pseudomonas sp. RNAcentral describes it as "bacterial SSU rRNA". It matches the Rfam family "Bacterial small subunit ribosomal RNA", at positions 1049 to 1382 of the family's 1533-position model. The record is from RNAcentral. Lineage: Bacteria; Pseudomonadati; Pseudomonadota; Gammaproteobacteria; Pseudomonadales; Pseudomonadaceae.
CUGUCGUCAGCUCGUGUCGUGAGAUGGUUGGGUUAAGUCCCGUAACGAGCGCAACCCUUGUCCUUAGUUACCAGCACGUUAUGGUGGGCACUCUAAGGAGACUGCCGGUGACAACCGGAGGAAGGUGGGGAUGACGUCAAGUCAUCAUGGCCCUUACGGCCUGGGCUACACACGUGCUACAAUGGUCGGUACAAAGGGUUGCCAAGCCGCGAGGUGGAGCUAAUCCCAUAAAACCGAUCGUAGUCCGGAUCGCAGUCUGCAACUCGACUGCGUGAAGUCGGAAUCGCUAGUAAUCGUGAAUCAGAAUGUCACGGUGAAUACGUUCCCGGGCCUU